AUACGAAGGGGGCUAGCGUUGUUCGGAAUUACUGGGCGUAAAGCGCGCGUAGGCGGAUUGGUCAGUUAGGGGUGAAAUCCCAGGGCUUAACCCUGGAACUGCCUCUAAUACUGCCAGUCUUGAGUUCGGGAGAGGUGAGUGGAAUUCCUAGUGUAGAGGUGAAAUUCGUAGAUAUUAGGAAGAACACCAGUGGCGAAGGCGGCUCACUGGCCCGAUACUGACGCUGAGGCGCGAAAGCGUGCGGAGCAAACAGGAUUAGAUACCCUAGUAGUCC
Molecule: ribosomal RNA, 274 nt
Filed under: uncultured bacterium
Lineage: Bacteria
Description: partial 16S ribosomal RNA
Rfam family: Bacterial small subunit ribosomal RNA
Source: RNAcentral